UCGAGUAGGCUAGAAAUACAUUCAACAAGUCUUAUUUUAGGUUAUGGUUGGCUGGGGGGCAAGGAGCUGAUUUCAAUGUGGAAAAGUGGGGGAAAAGCAGGUACAUUCACCCAGUACUUCGUAUUUGAUAAGCGGCUCUAUGAUGAAUAACUUCUGUCUUAUCAAUAGACUAAUCUUCUUGGCCAUUAUUAACGGGAUCGUUUUUGAGAUAAAAAUUAGAGGAAAAUUAUUUCUGCAGGUUGAGUAGCUCUAUUUAUAAUCGAGGAAGCAAAAAAUACAGUAAAAGAUAAAAUUAAUACAGAAUUCUGACGUUUUUAUGAACUUUUUAAUAAAUUUUUCCUACAACUCACUACAAAUUUCGAGUUUUUUUAGUAUAAUAGGCGAAAAGUGUGA
Diorhabda carinulata is the source of this 393-nucleotide long non-coding RNA. RefSeq lists it as uncharacterized. The transcript has 2 exons. The record is from RefSeq and is a predicted model, not a curated record. Lineage: Eukaryota; Metazoa; Arthropoda; Insecta; Coleoptera; Chrysomelidae.